AAUAGAUACCCCAGGUAGUCCACGCCGUAAACGAUGGAUACUAGCUGUUUGAGCGCAAGUUUGAGUGGCUAAGCGAAAGUGAUAAGUAUCCCACCUGGGGAGUACGGGCGCAAGCCUGAAACUCAAAGGAAUUGACGGGGGCCCGCACAAGCGGUGGAGCAUGUGGUUUAAUUCGAUGAUACGCGAGGAACCUUACCAGGGCUUAAAUGUAGAUUGACGUAUUUGGAAACAGAUAUUUCUUCGGACAAUUUACAAGGUGCUGCAUGGUUGUCGUCAGCUCGUGCCGUGAGGUGUCAGGUUAAGUCCUAUAACGAGCGCAACCCCUGUUGUUAGUUGCCAGCGAGUAAUGUCGGGAACUCUAGCAAGACUGCCAGUGUAAACUGUGAGGAAGGUGGGGAUGACGUCAAAUCAUCACGGCCCUUACGUCCUGGGCCACACACGUGCUACAAUGGCCGGUACAGAGAGCAGCCACUUAAGCGAUAAGGAGCGAAUCUAUAAAGCCGGUUCACAGUUCGGA
RNAcentral lists this ribosomal RNA (517 nucleotides) under uncultured bacterium. Its description in RNAcentral is "bacterial SSU rRNA". It matches the Rfam family "Bacterial small subunit ribosomal RNA", at positions 777 to 1297 of the family's 1533-position model. The record is from RNAcentral.